This 501-nucleotide ribosomal RNA is filed under the name uncultured bacterium. RNAcentral describes it as "partial 16S ribosomal RNA". It matches the Rfam family "Bacterial small subunit ribosomal RNA", at positions 30 to 523 of the family's 1533-position model. The record is from RNAcentral.
AUUGAACGCUGGCGGCAUGCCUUACACAUGCAAGUCGAACGGCAGCACGGGUGCUUGCACCUGGUGGCGAGUGGCGAACGGGUGAGUAAUACAUCGGAACGUACCUUAUCGUGGGGGAUAACGCAGCGAAAGUUGCGCUAAUACCGCAUACGCCCUGAGGGGGAAAGCGGGGGACCGUAAGGCCUCGCGCGAUUAGAGCGGCCGAUGUCUGAUUAGCUUGUUGGUGAGGUAACAGCUCACCAAGGAGAUGAUCAGUAGCUGGUCUGAGAGGACGAUCAGCCACACGGGGAAUGAGACACGGCCCAGACUCCUACGGGAGGCAGCAGUGGGGAAUUUUGGACAAUGGGGGCAACCCUGAUCCAGCAAUGCCGCGUGAGUGAAGAAGGCCUUCGGGUUGUAAAGCUCUUUUGUCAGGGAAGAAACAGCAGCUCUAACACAGUCUGCGAAUGACGGUACCUGAAGAAUAAGCACCGGCUAACUACGUGCCAGCAGCCGCCGCAG